RNAcentral lists this transfer RNA (82 nucleotides) under Cordylochernes scorpioides. Its description in RNAcentral is "tRNA-Thr". The record is from RNAcentral. Lineage: Eukaryota; Metazoa; Arthropoda; Arachnida; Pseudoscorpiones; Chernetidae.
AAUAAAAGUGUCCAGGGAUGGGAAUCGAACCCACAAUGUUCCGCUUACCGGGCAGAUGCCAUGUCCACUAGGCUACUUUUAU